UCCAGCUUAUCGCCGGCAGUUUCUGUAGAGUGCUUCACACCUUACGGCAUGAGUGGCAACUACAGACGUGGGUUGCGCUCGUUGCGGGACUUAACCCAACACUUCACAGCACGAGCUGACGACAGCCAUGCACCACCUGUGUAAACUCUCGACUUAACGAGUCCAUCCCCUUUCGGUUCAGUACUUCUUACAUGUCAAGCCCAGGAUAAGGUUCUUCGCGUAGCGUCGAAUUGAACCACAUGUUCCACCGCUUGUGCGGGCCCCCGUCAAUUCCUUUGAGUUUCAUCCUUGCGGACGUACUCCCCAGGUGGAGAACUUAAUGGGUUACCUGCGGCACCGAUCGGUAUCCCGACCGACACCUAGUUCUCAUCGUUUACAGCGUGGACUAC
Molecule: unclassified non-coding RNA, 389 nt
Filed under: uncultured bacterium
Lineage: Bacteria
Description: contains 16S-23S intergenic spacer region
Source: RNAcentral